AUGACGGCCUGUACCCGAAACCGACACAGGUGGGGUGGUAGAGAAUACCGAGGGGCGCGAGAUAACUCUCUCUAAGGAACUCGGCAAAAUGGCCCCGUAACUUCGGGAGAAGGGGUGCCACCGCAAGGUGGUCGCAGUGAAGAGGCCCAGGCGACUGUUUACCAAAAACACAGGUCUCCGCUAAGUCGCAAGACGAUGUAUGGGGGCUGACGCCUGCCCAGUGCCGGAAGGUUAAGGAAGCUGGUCAGCGCAAGCGAAGCUAGCGACUGAAGCCCCGGUGAACGGCGGCCGUAACUAUAACGGUCCUAAGGUAGCGAAAUUCCUUGUCGGGUAAGUUCCGACCCGCACGAAAGGCGUAACGAUCUGGGCGCUGUCUCGGAGAGAGGCUCGGCGAAAUAGAAUUGUCUGUGAAGAUGCGGACUACGUGCACCCGGACAGAAAGACCCUAUGAAGCUUUACUGUAGCUUGGUAUUGUGCCCGGGCUCUGAAUGCGCAGGAUAGGUGGGAGGCUUUGAUCCAUUGCUUGUGGGUGAUGGUGAGCCACUGGUGAGAUACCACUCUUUCAGAGCUAGGGUUCUAGCGGUCACCCGUUAUCCGGGGACCGGACAGUAUCAGGUGGGCAGUUUGACAGGGGCGGUCGCCUCCUAAAAGGUAACGGAGGCGCGCAAAGGUUCCCUCAGGCUGGUUGGAAAUCAGCCGACGAGUGUAAAGGCAGAAGGGAGCUUGACUGUGAGACCUACAAGUCGAACAGGGACGAAAGUCGGCCUUAGUGAUCCGACGGUUCUGAGUGGAAGGGCCGUCGCUCAACGGAUAAAAGUUACUCUAGGAUAACAGGCUGAUCUCCCCCAAGAGUUCACAUCGACGGGGAGGUUUGGCACCUCGAUGUCGGCUCAUCGCAACCUGGGGCUGAAGUCGGUCCCAAGGGUUGGGCUGUUCGCCCAUUAAAGCGGUACGCGAGCUGGGUUCAGAACGUCGUGAGACAGUUCGGUCCAUAUCCGGUGCACGCGCAGGAACAUUGAGAGGAUUUCUCCCUAGUACGAGAGGACCGGGAGGAACGCACCUCUGGUGUACCAGUUAUCGUGCCAACGGUAAACGCUGGGUAGCCAUGUGCGGAGCGGAUAACCGCUGAAAGCAUCUAAGUGGGAAGCCCACCUCAAGAUGAGUGUUCCCAUGGCAUAAGCCAGUAAGGUCACGGGAAGAACACCCGUUGAUAGGCUCUACGUGGAAGCGUGGCAACACGUGAAGCGGAGGAGUACUAAUAGACCGAGGGCUUGACCAU
This 1279-nucleotide ribosomal RNA is filed under the name metagenome. RNAcentral's name for it is "bacterial LSU rRNA". It matches the Rfam family "Bacterial large subunit ribosomal RNA", at positions 1634 to 2925 of the family's 2925-position model. The record is from RNAcentral.